UAGCCGUAAAACGAUACUCGCUAGGUGUCGGCCACGGUGCGACCGUUGUCGGUGCCGUAGGGAAGCCGUGAAGCGAGCCACCUGGGAAGUACGGCCGCAAGGCUGAAACUUAAAGGAAUUGGCGGGGGAGCACAACAACGGGUGGAGCUCGCGGUUUAAUUGGAUUCAACGCCGGAAAUCUUACCGGGACCGACAGCAACAUGAAGGCCAAGCUGAAGACUUUGCCGGAUUAGCUGAGAGGAGGUGCAUGGCGUAGUCGUGU
This 262-nucleotide ribosomal RNA is filed under the name uncultured archaeon. Its description in RNAcentral is "partial 16S ribosomal RNA". It matches the Rfam family "Archaeal small subunit ribosomal RNA", at positions 748 to 1009 of the family's 1478-position model. The record is from RNAcentral.